CGUCGAUGAGGAUAACUCUAAGGCCUGUUUCUCAAAACAUUCGCAGUGGCCGCCUAAGAGCUUUCGCCUUCGCCGGGCUUGAGAGCUACUGCUGCUUCAAUCCUUCCUUGGAUGUCUGAGACU
Molecule: small nucleolar RNA, 123 nt
Filed under: Vitis vinifera (wine grape)
Lineage: Eukaryota; Viridiplantae; Streptophyta; Magnoliopsida; Vitales; Vitaceae
Also listed under: 1 other name
Description: Small nucleolar RNA SNORD14
Rfam family: Small nucleolar RNA SNORD14
About the family: U14 small nucleolar RNA (U14 snoRNA) is required for early cleavages of eukaryotic precursor rRNAs. In yeasts, this molecule possess a stem-loop region (known as the Y-domain) which is essential for function.
Source: Rfam by way of RNAcentral